RNAcentral lists this ribosomal RNA (357 nucleotides) under Acidimicrobiales bacterium. RNAcentral's name for it is "bacterial SSU rRNA". It matches the Rfam family "Bacterial small subunit ribosomal RNA", at positions 1 to 356 of the family's 1533-position model. The record is from RNAcentral. Lineage: Bacteria; Bacillati; Actinomycetota; Acidimicrobiia; Acidimicrobiales.
UUGACGGAGAGUUUGAUCCUGGCUCAGGACGAACGCUGGCGGCGGGCUUAAUACAUGCAAGUCGAACGCAGUCGACCUUCGGGUCACAUGACUGAGUGGCGAACGGGUGAGUAACACGUGAGAAACCUGCCUCGAAGACUGGAAUAACCCGGGGAAACCCGGGCUAAUACCGGAUAUCCCCAGUUGGCCGCAUGGCCGACUGAGGAAAUGCUCCGGCGCUUCGAGAGGGUCUCACGGCCUAUCAGCUAGUUGGUGAGGUAACGGCUCACCAAGGCAUCGACGGGUAGCUGGUCUGAGAGGACGAUCAGCCACACUGGGACUGAGACACGGCCCAGACUCCUACGGGAGGCAGCAGUA